UGACCUAGUCAACAUGGAAAAACACCUGCUUCUCAUUUUAAUUCUGACUUCAGGUGUGAUGACUGCAGACCAGAUUAGACCAAAAGAAACUAGUGUCAUAAAGAAGGAAGAUGAGAUUGUAUCCCUCAGCUGCUCAUAUGAUACAAGCAGCAGAUAUGUUACACUUUACUGGUACAGACAGAAUCCUAAUGAAGAGCUUAGCUAUUUAAUAUACAAGGCUGCACGGUCAAGUAGUGGAGGUGGGAGCCCUGCUGAUCCUCGCUUUCAGUCGACUACAUCAGAUACAUCCACUGAACUCACUAUUACUGGUGUAACUCUGUCAGAUUCAGCUCUCUAUUAUUGUGCUCUAAGAGUUGGAGCCCAGUGA
Molecule: non-coding RNA, 367 nt
Organism: Sinocyclocheilus rhinocerous
Lineage: Eukaryota; Metazoa; Chordata; Actinopteri; Cypriniformes; Cyprinidae
Source: the annotation of a RefSeq genome assembly